RNAcentral lists this ribosomal RNA (395 nucleotides) under uncultured bacterium. RNAcentral's name for it is "bacterial SSU rRNA". It matches the Rfam family "Bacterial small subunit ribosomal RNA", at positions 29 to 455 of the family's 1533-position model. The record is from RNAcentral.
AACGAACGCUGGCGGCAUGCCUAACACAUGCAAGUCGAACGAGAUCUUCGGGUCUAGUGGCGCACGGGUGCGUAACGCGUGGGAAUCUGCCCUUGGGUUCGGAAUAACAGUUAGAAAUGACUGCUAAUACCGGAUAAUGUCUUCGGACCAAAGAUUUAUCGCCCAGGGAUGAGCCCGCGUAGGAUUAGCUAGUUGGUGAGGUAAAGGCUCACCAAGGCGACGAUCCUUAGCUGGGUCUGAGAGGAUGAUCAGCCACACUGGGACUGAGACACGGCCCAGACUCCUACGGAGGCAGCAGUGGGGAAUAUUGCGCAAUGGGCGAAAGCCUGACGCAGCGACGCCGCGUGGGUGAUGAAGGCCUGGUCGUAAGACCCUGUCGCAGGGAGAAGUAAGAC